UUAGAGCAGGAAGAAACGGGUGGAGAGAAUGGAUCAGUGGGUGGAGAUGGAAUGAAUCAACGGAUAGAAAUGGUUGAGAAGAUGGCACUGCAUUGGCCCAGAACAAGCCUCAGAAAUCAUCAGGUCUUCGGCGUCGAGAGCUGUGAUUUAUUUGGAGGCUUCAAUGUCUCUCUUCACCCAGCAUUACCUUACAGCUAAAUGGACAAGUAAACUGCUGUGCGACUACGCAUCAACCACAGAUAACAGAAAGAUUUAAUUAAAAAUACCAACUGGACAAUACGGCAAGUGCACCAGGUCUCCAAGAACGUGAUUAGCCGAAAAUAUACUGUCUCCAACAGGAGAGAAUAUGAAACUUGCCGAGUCUAGGACAUCGUGACCCAGGUUCAGCCACAGCAGCAGCGUGAUGUUGGUUGCCUCAGCUCCCUGCAA
Molecule: long non-coding RNA, 429 nt
Organism: Pomacea canaliculata
Lineage: Eukaryota; Metazoa; Mollusca; Gastropoda; Architaenioglossa; Ampullariidae
Exons: 3
Source: RefSeq, a predicted model, not a curated record